GGCCCGGUCGGCCGAGGCGGUCUGAGCCGGGUCCCGGCCGGCCCGGGCGCUCCGGAUCGGUGGCUCGACCGCUCGGUCUCAGUCGCUGGGCUGC
This 94-nucleotide transfer RNA is filed under the name Streptomyces hygroscopicus subsp. hygroscopicus. RNAcentral's name for it is "tRNA-Gly". The record is from RNAcentral. Lineage: Bacteria; Bacillati; Actinomycetota; Actinomycetes; Kitasatosporales; Streptomycetaceae.